RNAcentral lists this ribosomal RNA (427 nucleotides) under uncultured Alcaligenaceae bacterium. RNAcentral describes it as "bacterial SSU rRNA". It matches the Rfam family "Bacterial small subunit ribosomal RNA", at positions 355 to 774 of the family's 1533-position model. Lineage: Bacteria; Pseudomonadati; Pseudomonadota; Betaproteobacteria; Burkholderiales; Alcaligenaceae. The record is from RNAcentral.
UGGGGAAUUUUGGACAAUGGGGGAAACCCUGAUCCAGCCAUUCCGCGUGUGUGAAGAAGGCCUUCGGGUUGUAAAGCACUUUUGGCGGGAAAGAAACGGCGUCGACUAAUACUCGGCGUAACUGACGGUACCCGCAGAAUAAGCACCGGCUAACUACGUGCCAGCAGCCGCGGUAAUACGUAGGGUGCAAGCGUUAAUCGGAAUUACUGGGCGUAAAGCGUGCGCAGGCGGUUCGGAAAGAAAGAUGUGAAAUCCCAGGGCUCAACCUUGGAACUGCAUUUUUAACUACCGGACUAGAGUAUGUCAGAGGGGGGUGGAAUUCCACGUGUAGCAGUGAAAUGCGUAGAUAUGUGGAGGAACACCGAUGGCGAAGGCAGCCCCCUGGGAUAAUACUGACGCUCAUGCACGAAAGCGUGGGGAGCAAACA